AUAAAUUCAACUUCCACUCUCAAAGAAUGCAUUUUUCUAGGGUAUUCCUCAAGUCACAAAAGGUGUAAGUGUCUUGCUUCCAAUGACAGACUUUAUAUCUCCAAGGAUGUUGUUUUCAAUGAAACACACUAACCUUAUCCUUAUUUGUUUCCAUCUAAGCCCACUUCUUCCACCUCACCCUAUACCACUUCAUCUAUAUUUCCUUUGAUGCAUUUU
Molecule: long non-coding RNA, 216 nt
Filed under: Lathyrus oleraceus (garden pea)
Lineage: Eukaryota; Viridiplantae; Streptophyta; Magnoliopsida; Fabales; Fabaceae
Description: Pisum sativum (pea) long non-coding RNA (PSAT_LNC003048)
Source: RNAcentral